This 740-nucleotide long non-coding RNA is filed under the name Eucalyptus grandis. Its description in RNAcentral is "long non-coding RNA (EGRA_LNC005320)". Lineage: Eukaryota; Viridiplantae; Streptophyta; Magnoliopsida; Myrtales; Myrtaceae. The record is from RNAcentral.
AUUAUUUUUCGCACUUUGUCAAAAACCCACUUUAAAUUUGAAUAUUAUUGAGUACCAAGAGAUAAUUGAAUCGGUUGUCUACCCUCUACAAUAUAUUCUCUAUUGACGAGUAAUAUGAGGAAAGGCCUCAAAUCUAAUGAUUGAGGCCAUUAUAUGCAAGAACAGAGUACGAGGGAAACAAGCAUUUUCCAUACACACAAGCAAAGUCAGAGAGAGGACAAUAAACACUUGACGAGAAAAAUUAGCACUAUCAUAAUCAAACACAUUUGACACCACAGUGUGUCGCGUUCAGCACCACGUUCUUCAACUCCCUCCUGCCUUGCCCGAAUUCGAUGCCUGUGAAUUAUGAGGAUGGACUUUCUUGUUCCUUGCAAACCCAGAAUUACCGUUGGAAUCAUUACCAUCGCCACCAACCUUGUCUUCCCCAUCGCUCUUAUCUCUCUUCCGUCCUUCUUCCUCCAGUUUCUUGAGCUUCUCCUCUUGACGUUUCUUCAUCACAUAGACAUUAGCACAGCUUGCACCGAUGGAAGACAUCGACAGAAACAGCAAGCAAGACAAAGAGACCCAGGAAAAAAGAAGGAAAAGAUCAAAUCUCAAGGUGAAAUUUGCUGCUGCUUUGGUGGAUGAAGAGAUUGGCAAAUCGAGAGGCGCAUUUAUAGAGGCUGAGAGGUGCCCAUGUGUUGACCUAAUUCAUCACUUCACCACCAGCCAAUUAUCUUGGGGUUCCAUCAACUUUCCAA